GGGUUGUGAGGUUAAGCGACUAAGCGUACACGGUGGAUGCCCUGGCAGUCAGAGGCGAUGAAGGACGUGCUAAUCUGCGAUAAGCGCCGGUAAGGUGAUAUGAACCGUUAUAACCGGCGAUUUCCGAAUGGGGAAACCCAGUGUGACUCGUCACACUAUCAUUAACUGAAUCCAUAGGUUAAUGAGGCGAACCGGGGGAACUGAAACAUCUAAGUACCCCGAGGAAAAGAAAUCAACCGAGAUUCCCCCAGUAGCGGCGAGCGAACGGGGAGGAGCCCAGAGCCUGAAUCAGCAUGUGUGUUAGUGGAAGCGUCUGGAAAGGCGCGCGAUACAGGGUGACAGCCCCGUACACAAAAGCGCAUGUGCUGUGAGCUCGAUGAGUAGGGCGGGACACGUGGUAUCCUGUCUGAAUAUGGGGGGACCAUCCUCCAAGGCUAAAUACUCCUGACUGACCGAUAGUGAACCAGUACCGUGAGGGAAAGGCGAAAAGAACCCCGGCGAGGGGAGUGAAAAAGAACCUGAAACCGUGUACGUACAAGCAGUGGGAGCACCCUUCGGGGUGUGACUGCGUACCUUUUGUAUAAUGGGUCAGCGACUUAUAUUCUGUAGCAAGGUUAACCGAAUAGGGGAGCCGGAGGGAAACCGAGUCUUAAUUGGGCGUUAAGUUGCAGGGUAUAGACCCGAAACCCGGUGAUCUAGCCAUGGGCAGGUUGAAGGUUGGGUAACACUAACUGGAGGACCGAACCGACUAAUGUUGAAAAAUUAGCGGAUGACCUGUGGCUGGGGGUGAAAGGCCAAUCAAACCGGGAGAUAGCUGGUUCUCCCCGAAAGCUAUUUAGGUAGCGCCUCGUGAAUUCAUCUCCGGGGGUAGAGCACUGUUUCGGCUAGGGGGCCAUCCCGGCUUACCAACCCGAUGCAAACUGCGAAUACCGGAGAAUGUUAUCACGGGAGACACACGGCGGGUGCUAACGUCCGUCGUGAAGAGGGAAACAACCCAGACCGCCAGCUAAGGUCCCAAAGUCAUGGUUAAGUGGGAAACGAUGUGGGAAGGCCCAGACAGCCAGGAUGUUGGCUUAGAAGCAGCCAUCAUUUAAAGAAAGCGUAAUAGCUCACUGGUCGAGUCGGCCUGCGCGGAAGAUGUAACGGGGCUAAACCAUGCACCGAAGCUGCGGCAGCGACACUGUGUGUUGUUGGGUAGGGGAGCGUUCUGUAAGCCUGCGAAGGUGGCCUGUGAGGGUUGCUGGAGGUAUCAGAAGUGCGAAUGCUGACAUAAGUAACGAUAAAGCGGGUGAAAAGCCCGCUCGCCGGAAGACCAAGGGUUCCUGUCCAACGUUAAUCGGGGCAGGGUGAGUCGACCCCUAAGGCGAGGCCGAAAGGCGUAGUCGAUGGGAAACGGGUUAAUAUUCCCGUACUUGGUGUUACUGCGAAGGGGGGACGGAGAAGGCUAUGUUGGCCGGGCGACGGUUGUCCCGGUUUAAGCGUGUAGGUGUGUGUUCCAGGUAAAUCCGGUUCACUUUAACACUGAGGCGUGACGACGAGGCACUACGGUGCUGAAGCAACAAAUGCCCUGCUUCCAGGAAAAGCCUCUAAGCAUCAGGUAACAUCAAAUCGUACCCCAAACCGACACAGGUGGUCAGGUAGAGAAUACCAAGGCGCUUGAGAGAACUCGGGUGAAGGAACUAGGCAAAAUGGUGCCGUAACUUCGGGAGAAGGCACGCUGACAUGUAGGUGAAGUGAUUUACUCAUGGAGCUGAAGUCAGUCGAAGAUACCAGCUGGCUGCAACUGUUUAUUAAAAACACAGCACUGUGCAAACACGAAAGUGGACGUAUACGGUGUGACGCCUGCCCGGUGCCGGAAGGUUAAUUGAUGGGGUCAGCGCAAGCGAAGCUCCUGAUCGAAGCCCCGGUAAACGGCGGCCGUAACUAUAACGGUCCUAAGGUAGCGAAAUUCCUUGUCGGGUAAGUUCCGACCUGCACGAAUGGCGUAAUGAUGGCCAGGCUGUCUCCACCCGAGACUCAGUGAAAUUGAACUCGCUGUGAAGAUGCAGUGUACCCGCGGCAAGACGGAAAGACCCCGUGAACCUUUACUAUAGCUUGACACUGAACAUUGAGCCUUGAUGUGUAGGAUAGGUGGGAGGCUUUGAAGUGUGGACGCCAGUCUGCAUGGAGCCGACCUUGAAAUACCACCCUUUAAUGUUUGAUGUUCUAACGUGGACCCGUAAUCCGGGUUGCGGACAGUGUCUGGUGGGUAGUUUGACUGGGGCGGUCUCCUCCUAAAGAGUAACGGAGGAGCACGAAGGUUGGCUAAUCCUGGUCGGACAUCAGGAGGUUAGUGCAAUGGCAUAAGCCAGCUUGACUGCGAGCGUGACGGCGCGAGCAGGUGCGAAAGCAGGUCAUAGUGAUCCGGUGGUUCUGAAUGGAAGGGCCAUCGCUCAACGGAUAAAAGGUACUCCGGGGAUAACAGGCUGAUACCGCCCAAGAGUUCAUAUCGACGGCGGUGUUUGGCACCUCGAUGUCGGCUCAUCACAUCCUGGGGCUGAAGUAGGUCCCAAGGGUAUGGCUGUUCGCCAUUUAAAGUGGUACGCGAGCUGGGUUUAGAACGUCGUGAGACAGUUCGGUCCCUAUCUGCCGUGGGCGCUGGAGAACUGAGGGGGGCUGCUCCUAGUACGAGAGGACCGGAGUGGACGCAUCACUGGUGUUCGGGUUGUCAUGCCAAUGGCACUGCCCGGUAGCUAAAUGCGGAAGAGAUAAGUGCUGAAAGCAUCUAAGCACGAAACUUGCCCCGAGAUGAGUUCUCCCUGAGACUUAAAGUCUCCUGAAGGAACGUUGAAGACGACGACGUUGAUAGGCCGGGUGUGUAAGCGCAGCGAUGCGUUGAGCUAACCGGUACUAAUGAACCGUGAGGCUUAACCUUACAACGCCGAAG
This 2926-nucleotide ribosomal RNA is filed under the name Salmonella enterica subsp. enterica serovar Indiana. Its description in RNAcentral is "23S ribosomal RNA". It matches the Rfam family "Bacterial large subunit ribosomal RNA". RNAcentral also lists the same sequence under 2 other names. Lineage: Bacteria; Pseudomonadati; Pseudomonadota; Gammaproteobacteria; Enterobacterales; Enterobacteriaceae. The record is from RNAcentral.